UCUGUUUUGAUCAUAUCAGUGGU
This 23-nucleotide non-coding RNA is filed under the name Arabidopsis thaliana (thale cress). The record is from RNAcentral. Lineage: Eukaryota; Viridiplantae; Streptophyta; Magnoliopsida; Brassicales; Brassicaceae.